This 69-nucleotide transfer RNA is filed under the name Methylococcaceae bacterium. Its description in RNAcentral is "tRNA-Lys". The stretch from base 10 to 66 matches the Rfam family "tRNA", at positions 9 to 63 of the family's 71-position model. From Rfam's summary of the family: Transfer RNA (tRNA) molecules are approximately 80 nucleotides in length. Their secondary structure includes four short double-helical elements and three loops (D, anti-codon, and T loops). The record is from RNAcentral. Lineage: Bacteria; Pseudomonadati; Pseudomonadota; Gammaproteobacteria; Methylococcales; Methylococcaceae.
GCCGUUGUGAACUCAGCAGGUAGAAUUCCGCACUUUUAAUGCGAUGGUUGACGGUUCGAAUCCGUCGCG